GGCCCUCAGACGCAGAGUCUUGCAAUUUGACUGGAAAAAUGGUGUCUUUCCAGGGAUACCCAGCAACGCGGAGAUACCAGAGUGGCAGUGGGGCGUGGAAGCCACAGUUCAUGCGGUAUACAGGAAUGUAUAGACAGACACCCCCAGAAAAGAGGAAGGGGGCAAGCUGUUUUUCCCUCAGGAAGCCGGAAGGAUUGGCUGCUACAGCCCUGGAUUCACAGUUCAGGACUGGGGAAGGUUCAGCUGCACAGAAUGUCCUUGAAAGGCUGCCCCAGACCCCCUUGAUGAGGCAUGUGAUUCAUCUCCAGGUAGGUGCCCCUGUGUGAUGUGGCACAUCGUAACCCAAGUAAUUCUCUUAGGACAGUUCCUAAGGGUGGAGAAAGGAAGAGGACAUUCCCAUUUUGUUUGCUUUGCUCCCGAUCCUGGCAAAUUAACUCUAAAGGCAGUGACCACUGGGUCCAAGUAUGUAUAAAUGAUA
This 478-nucleotide long non-coding RNA is filed under the name Mustela putorius furo (domestic ferret). RNAcentral's name for it is "lncRNA (ENSMPUG00000027055.1)". The record is from RNAcentral. Lineage: Eukaryota; Metazoa; Chordata; Mammalia; Carnivora; Mustelidae.